UGGCAUCUGUGGGCCAUAUGGAAAGAGGGA
This 30-nucleotide non-coding RNA is filed under the name Macaca fascicularis (crab-eating macaque). Lineage: Eukaryota; Metazoa; Chordata; Mammalia; Primates; Cercopithecidae. The record is from RNAcentral. RNAcentral also lists the same sequence under 1 other name.